This 472-nucleotide ribosomal RNA is filed under the name uncultured bacterium. RNAcentral describes it as "bacterial SSU rRNA". It matches the Rfam family "Bacterial small subunit ribosomal RNA", at positions 355 to 825 of the family's 1533-position model. The record is from RNAcentral.
UGGGGAAUAUUGGACAAUGGGGGCAACCCUGAUCCAGCAAUGCCGCGUGUGUGAAGAAGGCCUGCGGGUUGUAAAGCACUUUUGGCAGGGAUGAAAAGCACUGGAUUAAUAACCCAGUGUGUUGACCUAACCUGCAGAAGAAGCACCGGCUAACUCUGUGCCAGCAGCCGCGGUAAUACAGGGGGUGCGAGCGUUAAUCGGAAUUACCGGGCGUAAAGGGCGCGUAGGCGGUCGAGUAAGUCGGAUGUGAAAUCCCCGGGCUUAACCUGGGAAUUGCAUUCGAUACUGCUUGGCUAGAGUGUGGAAGAGGGAAGCGGAAUUUCCGGUGUAGCGGUGAAAUGCGUAGAGAUCGGAAAGAACACUCGUGGCGAAGGCGGCUUUCUGGCCCAUAACUGACGCUGAGGUGCGAAAGCAUGGGGAGCAAACAGGAUUAGAUACCCCCGUAGUCCCUGAGCGGGCUGGCAAGGCGCAU